This 442-nucleotide ribosomal RNA is filed under the name uncultured bacterium. Its description in RNAcentral is "partial 16S ribosomal RNA". It matches the Rfam family "Bacterial small subunit ribosomal RNA", at positions 338 to 795 of the family's 1533-position model. The record is from RNAcentral.
CCUACGGGAGGCAGCAGUGAGGAAUAUUGGUCAAUGGGCGCGAGCCUGAACCAGCCAAGUAGCGUGAAGGAUGAAGGCCUUCGGGUUGUAAACUGCUUUUAUAAGCGAGAAAUAUGAUGGUAACUUAUGAAUAAGGAUCGGCUAACUACGUGCCAGCAGCCGCGGUCAUACGUAGGAUCCGAGCAUUAUCCGGAGUGACUGGGUGUAAAGAGUUGCGUAGGUGGCAUAAUAAGUAGCUAGUGAAAUCUGGUGGCUCAACCAUUCAGACUAUUAGCUAAACUGUUAAGCUCGAGACCGUUAGGGGUAACUGGAAUUUCUAGUGUAGGAGUGAAAUCCGUAGAUAUUAGAAGGAACACCAAUAGCGUAGGCAGGUUACUGGGACGGUUCUGACACUAAGGCACGAAAGCGUAGGGAGCAAACGGGAUUAGAUACCCGGGUAGUC